AAUCGAGCAGAGAGAAUCAUUUUCUCGUAUUCUUCUUCUUUCUUUCUUCUUCUUUCAGCUUCUCUUCUCUUUUCUUCCUCCGUUUACCUUUUUCUACGAGUUUGUGAUAUAUUUAACGGAGGUUGGUGAUCGGAAGGAGGAGGAGAAGACCAUGGAGUGGUUUGUAGUGAUGAUGUUAUCUGUUGUUGAUUCAGAUUCGAAGGAGAUAAUGAAUUAAGAGUUAGGGUUUCUGAGAAAUCAAUUGGAGUUCGAUUAGGUGAUGAUUAAGAGGAGCAUUGAAGCAUGGUUUUGCAUUAAUUGAAGAUUUGGAUUGAGAUUUUGAUCUCAUGUGAAUUAGAAGCUCAUGCAACCGUAAUUGUAAUUAGGGUUUUGUCUUGUAUUUGAGAUUAAAAAGUUAGGGAAUUAAGGUUUGAUUGAAAUGUAAAUCGAAUAAGUAAACAAAAUUGUUGGAUGGGUUUAGUCGAUUUGAGAACUUGAGUUAAUGGUUGAACAGAUUCAAGGAUUUGGGGAUUAUUUAGGGUCUUCACAGUUGAUGUUCUUGGAAUUGUUCAUAGGAGGUAGGAAGAAGCAAUAUUAGUUAUGAUUCUCAAAUGAAUAGCUAGAGUUCACGGAUUGAAAUUACAAGUGAAGAAUGUUCUAAGAUUUGUUUGAGGUAAAUCUUCUCAACCAAUUUAAGUACUUGUUGUUAUGUUGUUUAAAAUUUAGAAUUAGUAUAACUAAAUUGGGAUAAUUGAGCGAAUGUAUGAGUUGGUUAUGGAAUGAAGUUUGGUUGUUAUUUUGAAAUACAGGGUCUCUGUGAAUUUAAUUGGGAAUGGAAAUUAUGAAUAAGGAUGUUGGGGUAAGUGAACUGUAUUGGAGUUGAGAUGUUAUUAUUGUUGCUGAGGCUGGUGGUGGUAUUGAUUUGAUAUUAGGUUCAUGUAUGGAAUUGCAGUUGAAACAUGAAACUAGUGGUGAUAGUAAAUUAAGAAUGAAUGUAAAGAUCUGGAGUUGGUGCUGUUAUUGUUUGUUAGAGUUUAGAUGUUGUUGUUGUGACAGUAAAGUCACAGUUUCCGUCACUCAGAGAGGUUGAACAGAAUGGGUUGUGGUGGUUCUGGUAUUAUGGGUUAUUAGAGUUGGUUUCUUGAACUGAGAUUACAGCUGUGGUUAGGAUUGUAGUAAUGAACUGAGCUGAACUUGGUAGUGUUACUGUAAUGGCGGUGGGGAAUUUGAGCGACUGGUGAAACUGCAGAUUGUUAGUGUUGAAUUAAGUUGAAGGGGUAAUGGAGUUGGUAUCUCAAAGGAGAUUGAGAAUAAGGGUUGGUUGCAUCUUCUGAGGAUUGAAUGUGCGGAUGAAGAGUGUGGCAGAGAUUUCUAAACUGUAAAUGGAACUGAAGUUGUUGAGUGUGGCUGACAAGAUAGCGCUAGUGGAUUAGUGAAGGAAGUUGUGGUUGUAAAUCUAGGUUUGUGAUUGUAAUACUAGGAGUUAGUACAGAUUUGGAUUGCAAUUGAUUUAUGAAGUGGAGCUUGCCUUGUAUGUAAAUGAAGUUGUAGAUAGUAGUGACUGUAUGGUUGUAGCUGGAAGCUUCAACGAGGCCUUGCAUCUGAUAUUUCAGGGGAUGAACCAGUGGAUCGUGGAUCUCGAGGUAGGCGUGGCUUGUCAUCAAAAGAGUUUCAGGGACAGAUCACAGUUGCGCAGCAAAAGCUUCAAGGGUUGAUUUCGUUAGUUGGUUAACUUCUGCUAUGUUUAUUAUGUUGCAUAUUAUAUUUGUAAACCAAAUGACUAUUGUAUAUGUAUCAUUUGAGAGGAGUUCUUGUAUAUAUAUAUAUUUCUGAGCGGGGCUAGUUUUUGGCUAAGUUUUGUAGCAGAUUUUUAAUUGAAUGUUUAAGUAAA
Papaver somniferum (opium poppy) is the source of this 1870-nucleotide long non-coding RNA. RefSeq lists it as uncharacterized. The transcript has 3 exons. Lineage: Eukaryota; Viridiplantae; Streptophyta; Magnoliopsida; Ranunculales; Papaveraceae. The record is from RefSeq and is a predicted model, not a curated record.